Long non-coding RNA from Aquila chrysaetos chrysaetos, 338 nucleotides. RefSeq lists it as uncharacterized. The record is from RefSeq and is a predicted model, not a curated record. The transcript is spliced from 2 exons. NCBI's taxonomy places the organism in Eukaryota, Metazoa, Chordata, Aves, Accipitriformes, Accipitridae.
CUUCUUCAAUUACUACUCCUACCAAAAAGGAUGGUGUUUUCCAAGAGAAAAUUAGGGCUUGGAGACCCUCCACAGACUCGCUGACAGCCUGCUUCUGCAAGAAAAGCUCUUCCACUGACCUGCUACCAGCUAAGAAAACACCCUGCAAUCAUUAGAAGUCGUAUUUAUUCCAAACCCUUUAAUUGGGACUUCAUUUCACAGGGUUUUAACCGCUAUAAUCUCUGCUGAAUGUUGAACUCAAAAAGCAGAUGCAAAGCAGCCCUCAAAGAACAGCUCACGUCAAACAUUUAUCAGGUCUCCCAUUCUUUUCAUGCAUAAAUAAAUGCCUCUCUCCUUUA